Molecule: ribosomal RNA, 455 nt
Filed under: uncultured organism
Description: bacterial SSU rRNA
Rfam family: Bacterial small subunit ribosomal RNA
Source: RNAcentral
GUGCACCAGGCGCGAAAAUUUUCUCAAUGGGGAAACCCUGAAGGAGCGACGCCGCGUGGAGGAUGAAGGUCUUCGGGUUGUAAACUCCUGUCAUUUGGGAACAAGUUGCACACGUUAACUGCGUGGGCAUUGAUAGUACCAGAAGAGGAAGAGACGGCUGACUCUGUGCCAGCAGCCGCGGUAAUACAGAGGUCUCAAGCGUUGUUCGGAUUCAUUGGGCGUAAAGGGUGCGUAGGUGGCGCCGUAAGUCAGGUGUGAAAUUUCGGAGCUUAACUCCGAAACUGCAUUUGAUACUGCGGUGCUUGAGGACUGGAGAGGAGACUGGAAUUUACGGUGUAGCAGUGAAAUGCGUAGAGAUCGUAAGGAAGACCAGUGGCGAAGGCGGGUCUCUGGACAGUUCCUGACACUGAGGCACGAAGGCCAGGGGAGCAAACGGGAUUAGAUACCCCAGUAGU